This 21-nucleotide non-coding RNA is filed under the name Caenorhabditis elegans. The record is from RNAcentral. Lineage: Eukaryota; Metazoa; Nematoda; Chromadorea; Rhabditida; Rhabditidae.
UUUUUCAUGCGUUCAGAAUUU